This 497-nucleotide ribosomal RNA is filed under the name uncultured bacterium. Its description in RNAcentral is "partial 16S ribosomal RNA". It matches the Rfam family "Bacterial small subunit ribosomal RNA", at positions 28 to 507 of the family's 1533-position model. The record is from RNAcentral.
GAUGAACGCUGGCGGCGUGGCUAAUACAUGCAAGUCGAGCGAACAGACGAGGAGCUUGCUCCUCUGACGUUAGCGGCGGACGGGUGAGUAACACGUGGAUAACCUACCUAUAAGACUGGGAUAACUUCGGGAAACCGGAGCUAAUACCGGAUAAUAUAUUGAACCGCAUGGUUCAAUAGUGAAAGACGGUUUUGCUGUCACUUAUAGAUGGAUCCGCGCCGCAUUAGCUAGUUGGUAAGGUAACGGCUUACCAAGGCAACGAUGCGUAGCCGACCUGAGAGGGUGAUCGGCCACACUGGAACUGAGACACGGUCCAGACUCCUACGGGAGGCAGCAGUAGGGAAUCUUCCGCAAUGGGCGAAAGCCUGACGGAGCAACGCCGCGUGAGUGAUGAAGGUCUUCGGAUCGUAAAACUCUGUUAUUAGGGAAGAACAAAUGUGUAAGUAACUAUGCACGUCUUGACGGUACCUAAUCAGAAAGCCACGGCUAACUACGUG